Molecule: ribosomal RNA, 293 nt
Filed under: uncultured bacterium
Lineage: Bacteria
Description: partial 16S ribosomal RNA
Rfam family: Bacterial small subunit ribosomal RNA
Source: RNAcentral
AUUGAACGCUGGCGGCAUGCCUUACACAUGCAAGUCGAACGGCAGCGCGGGAGCAAUCCUGGCGGCGAGUGGCGAACGGGUGAGUAAUACAUCGGAACGUGCCCAAUCGUGGGGGAUAACGCAGCGAAAGCUGUGCUAAUACCGCAUACGAUCUACGGAUGAAAGCAGGGGAUCGCAAGACCUUGCGCGAAUGGAGCGGCCGAUGGCAGAUUAGGUAGUUGGUGAGGUAAAGGCUCACCAAGCCUUCGAUCUGUAGCUGGUCUAGAGAGGACGACCAGCCACACUGGGACUGA